UACGGAGGGGGUUAGCGUUGUUCGGAAUUACUGGGCGUAAAGCGCGCGUAGGCGGAUUGGAAAGUUGGGGGUGAAAUCCCGGGGCUCAACCUCGGAACUGCCUCCAAAACUCCCAGUCUUGAGUUCGAGAGAGGUGAGUGGAACUCCGAGCGUAGAGGUGAAAUUCGUAGAUAUUCGGAAGAACACCAGUGGCGAAGGCGGCUCACUGGCUCGAUACUGACGCUGAGGUGCGAAAGUGUGGGGAGCAAACAGG
Molecule: ribosomal RNA, 253 nt
Filed under: uncultured bacterium
Lineage: Bacteria
Description: partial 16S ribosomal RNA
Rfam family: Bacterial small subunit ribosomal RNA
Source: RNAcentral